RNAcentral lists this ribosomal RNA (484 nucleotides) under uncultured bacterium. RNAcentral's name for it is "partial 16S ribosomal RNA". It matches the Rfam family "Bacterial small subunit ribosomal RNA", at positions 30 to 507 of the family's 1533-position model. The record is from RNAcentral.
AUUGAACGCUGGCGGCAGGCCUAACACAUGCAAGUCGAGCGGAUGAAGGGAGCUUGCUCCUGGAUUCAGCGGCGGACGGGUGAGUAAUGCCUAGGAAUCUGCCUGGUAGUGGGGGAUAACGUCCGGAAACGGGCGCUAAUACCGCAUACGUCCUGAGGGAGAAAGUGGGGGAUCUUCGGACCUCACGCUAUCAGAUGAGCCUAGGUCGGAUUGGCUAGUUGGUGGGGUAAAGGCCUACCAAGGCGACGAUCCGUAACUGGUCUGAGAGGAUGAUCAGUCACACUGGAACUGAGACACGGUCCAGACUCCUACGGGAGGCAGCAGUGGGGAAUAUUGGACAAUGGGCGAAAGCCUGAUCCAGCCAUGCCGCGUGUGUGAAGAAGGUCUUCGGAUUGUAAAGCACUUUAAGUUGGGAGGAAGGGCAGUAAGUUAAUACCUUGCUGUUUUGACGUUACCAACAGAAUAAGCACCGGCUAACUUCGUG